RNAcentral lists this long non-coding RNA (5265 nucleotides) under Citrus x clementina. RNAcentral describes it as "Citrus clementina (C. clementina) long non-coding RNA (CCLE_LNC003081)". Lineage: Eukaryota; Viridiplantae; Streptophyta; Magnoliopsida; Sapindales; Rutaceae. The record is from RNAcentral.
CCGGCCAUCGGAGACGGAGAGCGGUGACUAUGGCAGGAAAGAGGAGGAGGUUGAUUACAAGAAGGAGGAGAAGCACCACAAGCAUCUCGAGCACCUCGGAGAGCUCGGAACUGCUGGAGCUGGUGCUUUUGCCCUGGUAAAGUGAUUCUUCAUCAAGUGCUUUUUUUAUUUUGUGAUAGUGUAUAGUUUCAUUUCUCAUGCAUACAUAUACAAAGUACCACGCAUGUAACUAGGCUUUUUGCAUGGAUUGGAGGAAAAAAAAAGAAAGAAUCCCAUUAUUUUCUUUAAUUUUAUCUCUAUGUUGACACUCAAUUAUUUAUUUAUUUUUGGGGGGUGGGGGGGUGUUGAUACGAUAUUGUAAAUGGAUCAGCUUGAGAAGCACAAGGCAGAAAAGGACCCAGAGCAUGCACACAGGCACAAGAUAGAGGAGGAGAUAGCCGCGGCAGCAGCCGUUGGAUCGGGAGGAUUUGCGUUCCACGAGCACCAUGAGAAGAAAGAAGCCAAGGAAGAAGACGAGGAAGCUCAUGGAAAGAAGCACCACCAUCUCUUUUAAUUAAUUAUGUGAUGCGUGCGCUACCUUUUUUAGUUUAUUAUAAUUAUGUGUUAAUAUUUUCUGUAUUUUAUUUGUUUUUGUUCGUUAAUUAUCAUUGAGCACAGAGGUAGCUAUCUGCAGCCCUAAAUAAUACCCUUGUGUGUUUGUGUGUAUGGGUGAGUCUGGUGACUUUUGUAAACAGACCGGAGUUAUCUGGUUAUGUUGUCAUCUUCCAUUUAUAUAUAUGUUGAUAAUAAAAAUUAGUUUUAAUUGUGUGUUUAUUAUUUAUAAGAUUUGACCUCAUGAUCUGAUGUUUUCUCCAAUCUCAGCUGUUGCUUUAGAAGUUGGGAUCAUCUGUUAAUUAUUAUUGUUUUUUAAAUGAAGUGAGCUGACAACCAUUGGGCUAAAGACUAAUAAUUCAACAUCAUAAAUAAACAACUCUCUUUGCCGUGAUGUAAUUUUAUUUGCCAAUGGGAUAAAGUAAAUUUAUGUGAAAUAACAUUUAUUCUAUGGACCCCCAGGCCAACUUUAGGGGAACAUUUUCCUAGAAUUGGCCUGGGGAGCAGCUGCGUGGUGGCAGCGCAGCUGCCCCAAACGGAUUUAUAUAUUUAUUAAAUUUGUUAAAGGAAUAUAUAAAGUUUAAAUUAACCUACAACUUUUCUUAAGAUUCAAAUCCUUGGGGCUUUAUCAAAUAAGAUUUGAUAUUAUAUCUGAAAAUAUAAUUGUGAAACCAAUGAUUAUAAGUUGAACUUAAUGUACAACUAAUCUUGAUAUUACCAAGUUGAUUUAUGGACUUUUGCUCGAGAAUGUUGUAUGACUCGUGACAAGUUGGACUGAAAAGCCCAUCGAGUAAUGGAAUGUUAGGUGUAUUUUCUCAAGAAGCAGCACUAAAUAAUCACCCGCUGACAGUCAAAUAAAGCUCACCAAUUAAUUGGACAACAACAAUUAUCUACAUCCAUUAAAGUGAAGCAAAGUAAAGAAAGGUCUAUGCAGGCUUCACAAGCACAAAUUAAUCAAGUAGUUGCACAAGCACAACCUGAACAAGCACCAGGUAAUAUUUAACCUCUAUGUUAAUUCCUUAUUUUUAUGUCCAUGAAUAAUAACUAAAUUAAUACUUUUUAGGAAUAUAUGGACCUCAAAGUACAAUUGGACAACAACAACAACCUGCAUAUAUUAUAGCGAGGCAAAGGAGGGCUAGACCAUUGCAUGAUCAAGGAACUAGUAACAACAACAAUAAUGGAGUUAUUAAUACCGAGCCUGUUCUAAAAAAAGUCAGAAAAGAGAGCAAAGAUAGGUUGAAUGCAACUCAACCAUCAGCUUCUAUGCCUGAUGGCUUUGGUGGUUGCAUGUAGUAUCUUGUAAAAUAUGAUAUCUAAUUAGUUUUGUUAACUAUUGUAGCAGGGGGUAAAGGUGGCUUCAUUCAUUGGGUAUGUGGCAAUAAAAUUCAUACCCAUUUGAAUAUUGUGUUUACUUUUGGUUAACUAUGAUGGAAUCUUCUUAUAUUAUGAUUACAUUUAGCUUAUAUGGCAUUGAUGCGUCAAACGAUUACUCCCUGAUUUUGAUUAUAACGAAGAUAUAUAAUUUUUUUUUUUUGGCAAUGCCGUAAGAUUUUGUUGGAUUGUUUUUGUAAGAAAUGAUUGGGUAUUUAUUUUUUUUGCAAGAUUAUAAUUGCGGAGACAUAAAUGGUUGAAAGGAUAGAAUAUUCGGGAAUGUUUGUGCAAGGAAUGUGGUUUGACAGAAGUGACGCAAAUUAGGCUUAUUGCAUUUGUGUUUUACGGGUAUGUAUAGCUUGAUUCAUGAAAUUAGAAAAUAAACGUUAGUCUUCCUAUUAAUAUUCAUUUUUUCAAUCCAUAUAUUAAUGGCAAUUAAGUCUUUUUGACUCUAAAAGUAAGGGCACUUUUAAAAUUUCACUUUGUUAUAUAUCAAUUAAAACAUGUGGGUAAUUGUGUGAUUUUAUCCACUAGAGCUAAGAAAAUUGGCGCCAAUCUCCUGUCAUUUGGAUACUAGGGGCAAAUAGGUAAAAGUAUUUAAAAAUUGAGCAACUUCUGUUAUUGUUAUAACAGCAGGGAGGAAAUUGGUCAUUAUGAAAAUAGUAAAGGAAGAAUUGGUAUAUAAUGAUUUUAAUAAGGGGGAAAUUAGCAAUCUCCCUUAUAACCACCGAAACAUCAACUGCCAUUGGAUUGGGACCCAUUUAACCACCGGCCAUAAAACAGUUUGGACGAAACUUAAUCCUGAAAAACUUAUGGACCUCCCUUUUCACUUGUUUUUAAAAAAAAAUUAAAGAAAAAUUACGUGUCAAAAAGGAAAAAAAAUUACACUGACGAAUCCCUUAUUGUCAUGCCAAAUUAUCACACUUAAAGUAAAGAAUUUAAGCAAAAGUCUUAAACCAUUAUAAAUGUGAACGUAUGGCUGAUUUAUGAUAUGAUGGGUCCAUCUAUUAAAUAUCUUGUUUUCUUUAGUGUGGAUGUUUUUAUUUUAUUUUAUAAAAGUAUGAAUUUAAUAUUUUAUAAUAUUAUAAAAACUAUAUAAUAUUAUAAAAUAUUUUAUAAAGUGCAAAGUUCAACACUUGAGAAAGAUUUCUUAAGGUUAAAGUUUAUCAUUACAAAGAGUGAAAAAAAAGAAGAAGAGGAAAAUAUCCAAUUGUAACUACAACCGUCAUGUUUUUACAUUGCAUUUCUUACAAUUUUCCAUUAAAUAUUUCUCAAAUUCUUUAGAGAAUUAAAAUAGAAUUGUUAUAAAAUUAAAUUCUCUCAUGAUCUAAAUUUGUCUCGUGUAAAAUUUAGUUGGAAAUUAGUGGUUAAUUAAAAAAAGUUAAAUCAAAAUCAUACAUAGCAUUAAAAAAAAAACAUAAAACACAAGACAUUUAAAAAUUCGAGAGAGUUCAUGUUAAGAAAGGGUCUUAAUUCAAUAAUGCAUAUGAUAUGAAAUGCAAAGUUUGGUGGGUCUAUUAAAACUAUAAUUAUUUUUAUCCAUUAAACUGCUAUUUCCUAUUUUAUGGAUAAUUCUUUUGAGCCACUGUUGAAGUAUUUGCAAUUUGUGACUAAAUUGUCUGAGCAUGAAGUCUCGUUGGUGAAACCAACCAUGUCGACAUAUAACGAAAAUAAAUCAAAAUCCGGAAACAAUAUUAAUGUAACAAUGAACCAACAGUAGACCAAUCGCAUUAUUAUUAUUAUUUGAGUACGUAAAUUGAUUUUUUUAGAGUAAAAAGAAAAAAAAGAUUUUUUUCUCCGUGAAUUUGACUUUUUCUUGUGGUACCGAACCAACCAUAGAGUUAUUACCUCUAAAAUUUUCUGAAGGUUAAGAAUUUUUUUUUUAAAACAAUUAAAAACAUCCCCAGAAAGAGACUCGAGUACACGUGUCAAAAAAUUGAAGUUUCUAACGGAGUUAAGAAAUAAGAAUAUGUUAAAAUAAGCAAAUUAAUGCAUACAUGUCAAAAAAUCUUCCAAAUAUUAAUUAAGUAAAUUCAGAUUAGUACAAUUUUAUUGAUUAGUUGGAUGUCACCCAGAAAAUCUAAAAAGAAAUUGUUAGCGACCCUUACCAUUUGAGUCACGAAAAGCUUAUAAAUAGACCCACAUCUCCCAUGCUAUGAUCAUCAGCAACACCAAAAACACUUUCUUGAAGUAGUGUCUAUAAAUUUCUCUUCUGCUAUCACUUUUUACUCUAUUAAUUAAUCAUGUCUGAGGAAAAGCACCACCACCACGGCCUCUUCCACCACCACAAGGAGCAUGAGAAGCCUGAGGGUGCCACCGGUUACUCCGACUCGACCACCGGAUACUCUGAUCAGUCAGCCACUGCUUACUCUGAGACUACAGGUUAUCCGGGAGACCGGUGCCGGCCAUCGGAGACGGAGAGCGGUGACUAUGGCAGGAAAGAGGAGGAGGUUGAUUACAAGAAGGAGGAGAAGCACCACAAGCAUCUUGAGCACCUCGGAGAGCUCGGAACUGCUGGAGCUGGUGCUUUUGCCCUGGUAAAGUGAUUCUUCAUCAAGUGCUUUUUUUAUUUUGUGAUAGUGUAUAGUUUCAUUUCUCAUGCAUACAUAUACAAAGUACCACGCAUGUAACUAGGCUUUUUGCAUGGAUUGGAGGAAAAAAAAAGAAAGAAUCCCAUUAUUUUCUUUAAUUUUAUCUCUAUGUUGACACUCAAUUAUUUAUUUAUUUUUGGGGGGUGGGGGGGUGUUGAUACGAUAUUGUAAAUGGAUCAGCUUGAGAAGCACAAGGCAGAAAAGGACCCAGAGCAUGCACACAGGCACAAGAUAGAGGAGGAGAUAGCCGCGGCAGCAGCCGUUGGAUUGGGAGGAUUUGCGUUCCACGAGCACCAUGAGAAGAAAGAAGCCAAGGAAGAAGACGAGGAAGCUCAUGGAAAGAAGCACCACCAUCUCUUUUAAUUAAUUAUGUAUUGCGUCCGCUACCUUUUUUAGUUUAUUAUAAUUAUGUGUUAAUAUUUUCUGUAUUUUAUUUGUUUUGCACGUUAGCCCUCAUUGAGCACAGAGGUAGCUGCAGCCCUAAAUAAUACUGUUGUGUGUUCGCGUGUAUGGGUGAGUCUGGUGACUUUUGUAAACACACCGGAGUUAUCUGGUUAUGUUGUCAUCUUACAUUUAUAUAUAUGUUGAUAAUAAAACUUAGUUUUAAUUGUGUGUUUAUUAUUUAUAAGAUUUGACCUCAUGAUCUGAUGUUUUCUCCAAUCUCAGCUGUUGCUUUAGAAGUUGGGAUCAUCUGUUAAUUAUUAUUGUUUUU